GACGAACGCUGGCGGCGUGCUUAACACAUGCAAGUCGAACGGAAAGGCCCUGCUUUUGUGGGGUGCUCGAGUGGCGAACGGGUGAGUAACACGUGAGUAACCUGCCCUUGACUUUGGGAUAACUUCAGGAAACUGGGGCUAAUACCGGAUAGGAGCUCCUGCUGCAUGGUGGGGGUUGGAAAGUUUCGGCGGUUGGGGAUGGACUCGCGGCUUAUCAGCUUGUUGGUGGGGUAGUGGCUUACCAAGGCUUUGACGGGUAGCCGGCCUGAGAGGGUGACCGGCCAAAUGGGAACGGGGAUACGGCCCAGACUCCUACGGGAGGAAGCGGUGGGGAAAAUGGCAAAAGGGGCGGAGGCCGGAUGCAGAAACGCCGCGUGCGGAAGGACGGCCUUCGGGUGGUAAACCGCUUUCGCCGGUGACGAAGCGGGAGUGACGGAAAGGGGUAAAGAGGCACCGGCUAACUACUU
Molecule: ribosomal RNA, 467 nt
Filed under: uncultured bacterium
Lineage: Bacteria
Description: partial 16S ribosomal RNA
Rfam family: Bacterial small subunit ribosomal RNA
Source: RNAcentral